UAACGGUAUUUGAUCCUGGCUCAAGAAGUCUUAUCAAGGUAACCAAUAUUGGAUCCCCUAAAGUUUGAUCCUGGCUUGGAAGUCGUAACAAGAUAAACCGUUUUGGUUCCCCUUAAAUUUGAUCCCCCCUCCGGGGGAAAGCAAAAAGACCUUCGGGCCUUUUUCCCCUAUGUUUUUUCCGUGGUCUUAACUAGUUGGUGGGGUAAUGGCGCACCAAGGCCUCGAUCCCUAACUGGUCUGAUAGGAUGAUCAGCCACACUGGAACUGACACACGGUCCACACUCCUACGGGAGGCAGCAUUGGGGAAUAUUGCACAAUGCGGGAAACCCUGAUGCAGCCUUGCCGCGUGUGUGAAGAAGGCCUUCAGGUUGUAAAGCACUUUAGGAAAGGAGGAAAGGUCAUUACCUAAUAUCUGCUGACUGUGACGUUACUCACAAAAGAAUCACCGGCUAACUCCGUGCCCGCAACCACGGUAAUACCGAGGGUGCAAGCGUUUUUCGGAAUUACUGGCCCUAAAACGCACUUCAGCGGUUGGAUAAUUUAAAUGUGAAAGCCCCGGGCUCAACCUGGGAAUUGCAUUUAAAACUGUCCAGCUAGAGUCUUGGAGAGGGUGGUAGAAUUCCCGGUGUAGCGCUUAAAUGCGUAAAGAUCUAGAGGAAUACCGGUGGCCAACGCGGCCCCCUGCACAAACACUGACGCUCAAGUGCGAAAGCGUGAGGAGCAAACAGGAUUAGAUUCCCCUGCUCCUCCACCCCAUAAAAAUGUCGAUUUGGAGGCUGUGUCCUUGAUCCCGGCUUCCCGAGCUAACUCGUUAAAUCUGCAUUUAAAACUGUCCAGCUAGAGUCUUGUAGAUAGAAUUCAGGUGUAGCGGUGAAAUGCGUAGAGAUCUGGAGGAAUACCGGUGGCGAAGGCGGCCCCCUGGACAUAGUCUGACGCUCAGGUGCGAAAGCGUGGGGAGCAAACAGGAUUAGAUACCCUGGUANNCACGCCGUAAACGAUGUCGAUUUGGAGGUUGUGUUCUUGAGACGUGGCUUCCGGAGCUAACGCGUUAAAUUGACCGCCUGGGGAGUACGGCCGCAAGGUUAAAACUCAAAUGAAUUGACGGGGGCCCGCACCAGCGGUGGAGCAUGUGGUUUAAUUUGAUGCAACGCGAAGAACCUUACCUGGCCUUGACAUGUCUGGAAUCCUGCAGAGAUGCGGGAGUGCCUUUGGGAAUCUGAACACAGGUGGUGCAUGGCUGUUGUCAGCUCGUGUCGUGAGAUGUUGGGUUAAGUCCCGCAACGAGCGCAACCCCUGUCCUUUGUUGCCAGCACGUAAUGGUGGGAACUCAAGGGAGACUGCCGGUGAUAAACCGGAGGAAGGUGGGGAUGACGUCAAGUCAUCAUGGCCCUUACGGCCAGGGCUACACACGUGCUACAAUGGCGCGUACAAAGGGUUGCCAGCUAGCGAUAGUGAGCGAAUCCCAAAAAGCGCGUUGUUUUUUUAAGAGUUUAAUCCAACUCGAGUAAGUGGAAACAAGGUAACCAGUAAUGGAUCCUUUGGGGUUUGCUCCGGGCCCGGUAAGUGGUAACAAGGUAACCGGUAUUGGAUCCCAUAGAGUUUGAUCCGGCUCAGGAAGUCGUAACAAGGUAACCAGUAUGGUCCUCA
This 1647-nucleotide ribosomal RNA is filed under the name Aeromonas sp. IGCAR-23/07. Its description in RNAcentral is "partial 16S ribosomal RNA". It matches the Rfam family "Bacterial small subunit ribosomal RNA". Lineage: Bacteria; Pseudomonadati; Pseudomonadota; Gammaproteobacteria; Aeromonadales; Aeromonadaceae. The record is from RNAcentral.